AAGGUUAUAGAAGUAUCUAAGAAAUUGGGUCUUCUAGGUUGGGCAAGAUUCUGUUGUGUUUUUGUUCUAUUUCUCACGAUCAACUGUUGAAAAAAUGAAAAAAUCGAGUCAAGUUUCUGAUCUGUAAAUAAGAUCAGCGCUUGAGAAAUAAUCUUCAAGAUUAUGGCGAUAAAAGAAAU
This 179-nucleotide unclassified non-coding RNA is filed under the name uncultured Chlamydiaceae bacterium. RNAcentral's name for it is "16S-23S ribosomal RNA intergenic spacer". The record is from RNAcentral. Lineage: Bacteria; Pseudomonadati; Chlamydiota; Chlamydiia; Chlamydiales; Chlamydiaceae.